GGGCGAAAGCCCGAAAACAAAAUGAAUCAAAACUUUCAACAACGGAUCUCUUGGCUCUGGCAUCGAUGAAGAACGCAGCGAAAUGCGAUAAGUAAUGUGAAUUGCAGAAUUCAGUGAAUCAUCGAAUCUUUGAACGCACAUUGCGCCCGCCGGCACUCCGGCGGGCAUGCCUGUCCGAGCGUCAUUUCAACCCUCAGGGCCCCCUUUCGGGGGCGGCACCUGGUUCUGGGGAUCAGCGGCCCUUCGGGGCCCCUGUCCCCCAAAUUGAGUGGCGGUCGCGCCGCAGCCUCCCCUGCGUAGUAGCACACCUCGCACCGGAGAGCGGCUCGGCCACGCCGUAAAACCCCCAAUUUUUACAGGUUGACCUCGGAUCAGGUAGGAAUACCCGCUGAACUUAAGCAUAUCAAUAAGCGGAGGAAAAGAAACCAACAGGGAUUGCCUCAGU
Molecule: ribosomal RNA, 445 nt
Filed under: fungal sp.
Lineage: Eukaryota; Fungi
Description: eukaryotic LSU rRNA
Rfam family: 5.8S ribosomal RNA (bases 31-184)
Source: RNAcentral